RNAcentral lists this unclassified non-coding RNA (731 nucleotides) under Hevea brasiliensis (rubber tree). The record is from RNAcentral. Lineage: Eukaryota; Viridiplantae; Streptophyta; Magnoliopsida; Malpighiales; Euphorbiaceae.
CUAGCAUCUUCCUUGAACUUGGUAAAGUUACUGGUUGAUGUUGGAAAAAGAGGUUGCAACUUCUUACUGUUAUAACGUGAAAAAGAUGAGGCAUUGGUAUGGUUCAGCAAAUGCUUUUCGUCAGCUCCUUGAUUCUUUGAGCUAUUGGGAAAAGAUCUUCUUAGCGACAGUUCGAGCCAUGGAGUGAACUCAAACUUAUUUGUGCCAUCAUUGAUACUUGUGUGUCCAUCUAUGCGCUUUGGGCCAUUAUCAAAUGAACCAAUCAAAUCAACAGUUCCACUAGAAGAUUCAACCAGUUCAUUAUUGUGGCCCUGAGAGGCAUUNNNNNNNNCCCUAAUAUUUUCUGGUCUUGUACUUUCAUCUUGGAUCAUUGACUUAGCACAGCAAGCAUGUUCUCCCAGUUUCUGAGCAGGUAGAUUAUAAGCUUCAUUGCAUGAUACACUCAUUAGCCCCAAUUGAGUUGACCAAUCUCCAGUUUUACUCUCAGGGUUAACUGCCCUUUUGUCAAGCACGGCACACUCUUUGUACUUCUCUUUCUCCGUAUUACUCAGAUUUGACUCACUACUAUACUUCAUCUGUGAAAGACCUUGGGCAUCGCUCCUUUUCUCGCUGCAUUCCUUUCUUUUAUGUGAGAAAGUUGCACAAUCACUACAGUGAUCACUUGUCGAAUUGUUUUCAAAGGUGGAUUCAACUUUAUGAGUUUGCCUUCUCCAAACAUGCUGCCACAGGUU